GGUCUCGUAGCUUAGUUGGUUAGAGCGAUGGUCCGAUGUACCGUAGGUUGAUGGUUCAAGCCCAUUCGAGACCA
This 74-nucleotide transfer RNA is filed under the name Triticum aestivum (bread wheat). It matches the Rfam family "tRNA". From Rfam's summary of the family: Transfer RNA (tRNA) molecules are approximately 80 nucleotides in length. Lineage: Eukaryota; Viridiplantae; Streptophyta; Magnoliopsida; Poales; Poaceae. RNAcentral also lists the same sequence under 1 other name. The record is from Rfam by way of RNAcentral.